AUGGACGGGGGAGGAAGUGGAGUUUGGCAGCGGGUUCGCGGAAGGACUGAAAGAGCUCCUCUCCUGCUAUGAAUAGACACAGAGACACAAAGCAUGGCUCACAAAGCUCCACGGCACACCGGCCCUGAACCCAAACAGCCCCACGCCGACUCGACUCUCCUCGCCUCACCGUGCAACCCACAACAUUGGCUAGCCAUGGUCUCAUCUCUGCAGACAGGGGAAAACACUUGUCACAUCUCCAGGCACAUGUAAACCCAUCCAUGUGCGAACUGAGGAUAUUAAAGACAGAUGAAGACAUGAAAGGGGAGAGCGAG
Molecule: long non-coding RNA, 314 nt
Organism: Perca fluviatilis (European perch)
Lineage: Eukaryota; Metazoa; Chordata; Actinopteri; Perciformes; Percidae
Exons: 3
Source: RefSeq, a predicted model, not a curated record